CCUACGGGUGGCAGCAGUGGGGAAGAUUGGGCAAUGGAGGCAAGUCUGACCCAGCAACGCCGCGUGAAUGAUGAAGGUUUUCGGGUUGUAAAGUUCUUUUCUCAGGGACGAAGCAAGUGACGGUACCUUAGGAAUAAGCCUCGGCUAACUCCGUGCCAGCAGCCGCGGUAAUACGUAGGAGGCAAGCGUUAUCCGGAUUUACUGGGCGUAAAGGGUGUGUAGGCGGGUGUGCAAGUCAGUAGCGAAACCCACGGGCUCAACCUGUGAACUACGACUUAAACUGUUGUUCUUGAGUGCAGGAGAGGCAGACGGAAUUCCUAGUGUAGCGGUGGAAUGCGUAGAUAUUAGGAGGAACACCAGUGGCGAAGGCGGUCUGCUAGACUGCAACUGACGCUGAGGCGCGAAAGCGUGGGGAGCAAACAGGAUUAGAUACCCGUGUAGUC
This 443-nucleotide ribosomal RNA is filed under the name uncultured bacterium. Its description in RNAcentral is "partial 16S ribosomal RNA". It matches the Rfam family "Bacterial small subunit ribosomal RNA", at positions 338 to 795 of the family's 1533-position model. The record is from RNAcentral.